This 157-nucleotide ribosomal RNA is filed under the name Histoplasma capsulatum. RNAcentral's name for it is "5.8S ribosomal RNA". It matches the Rfam family "5.8S ribosomal RNA". From Rfam's summary of the family: 5.8S ribosomal RNA (5.8S rRNA) is a component of the large subunit of the eukaryotic ribosome. It is transcribed by RNA polymerase I as part of the 45S precursor that also contains 18S and 28S rRNA. Functionally, it is thought that 5.8S rRNA may be involved in ribosome translocation. Lineage: Eukaryota; Fungi; Ascomycota; Eurotiomycetes; Onygenales; Ajellomycetaceae. The record is from RNAcentral.
AAACUUUCAACAACGGAUCUCUUGGUUCCGACAUCGAUGAAGAACGCAGCGAAAUGCGAUGAGUAAUGUGAAUUGCAGAAUUCCGUGAAUCAUCGAAUCUUUGAACGCAUAUUGCGCCCCCUGGUAUUCCGGGGGGCAUGCCUGUCCGAGCGUCAUU